CUUUCUUUCAGCUACAGAAUGCCUCAGUAAUGCUCUAUUAACCCGCCAGCCUUCCUUUCAGCUACAGAAUGCCUCAGUAAUGCUCUAUUAACCCGCAGGAAGUGUUUCUCAAGAGAAGCUUGCAUACGUGCCAGCCCUUGAGCAGCAGAGUUUCGGAAAUGCGGGAGGACAUGCCACCAGGUGCCUUCGCUGGAACGUGGCCGCCAGCCGUGAGUGGCCGGGCCCAUCCCGUCCAAAGACAAAUGUCUGGAGUGCUUCCGCUCAUCUUUAAAAGGCGGCCAGGCCCGUUUAUCUUUGGAGUUCUUCUGUCUUAGGAUUUUCCCUCUCUACUGUUUGUAAUUUCAUGAGCAUGUCAGCCUAACGGUGAGCCGACCUUCAGGCUCCUAAGCGUGAAGGCCGGAGACUCUCCCUUUGUAAGGCUUAAAUCUGAGUGCAGCAAAGAAUGAGGAAACCAACCCCGGACAUUUUAAAGUCGAAUGACAAUGGAGCCAGUGCCAAUGUUGAGAAGCACUACCACCGUCCCUUAGAGUUCUAUUUUGGUAAAUACGAAUGUUUAACCAGUUGGCAAAAUAUUUAACCCAGUUAGCAAAAUUAACACCGUCAUUUCCAUAGUUACUCUGCCGUGUAUGGCAAAUGCUGCAAGAUGAACAUCCCAUUUGAUGAAGCACAUUUGAGAAAUGUUUGCCAGAAAGUGUGCCUCUGUCUCAGGACCCUAAGCCCAGGGGGAUGAACAGAGACCCCAGCAGCUCUGUGCCUGCUGCCGUGCGGGUGACUCCUCUUCCUGCCGACAAGGUGGGCGAUGAGAACGAGGAGGCCCAGUCCCACCAGGGCGCCGCCGACGGCGAUGGGGAUCGGCGUGUUGUUCUCGCCCAGCAGACGCUCCUCCGCAGAUCCGAACUGGUUGCCUUCCACCUUGAAAGCCUGGCCCCACACUGGGAAUAUGUUGAUUGAAAACGCCUUCGUGCCGCGGACACGCUCCGCUCCGGCUGUAGAAUUGCCGAUGGCUGCCCGCAAUGCUCGCAGGGAGUCGUUGGCAGCUUUAAAAGUGGGGUCUCUGGGGUCAGGAAGAGUCGUAUUCAGCUGGAUUCCUCGUAGGAAAAUCCGGCUAGAACCUGCAUUCAUCCCCAACCGGAAGCCCAGGACCGUGGUGCCCUCGCCGCGCCGCUCCCGGGUCUCCAGGUGGGCGCCGCGCUCCCGCUGGCUGAGGUCAUG
RNAcentral lists this long non-coding RNA (1212 nucleotides) under Homo sapiens (human). Its description in RNAcentral is "non-protein coding lnc-LRTM2-8:2". The record is from RNAcentral. Lineage: Eukaryota; Metazoa; Chordata; Mammalia; Primates; Hominidae.